Molecule: long non-coding RNA, 393 nt
Organism: Perca flavescens (yellow perch)
Lineage: Eukaryota; Metazoa; Chordata; Actinopteri; Perciformes; Percidae
Exons: 3
Source: RefSeq, a predicted model, not a curated record
AGUGCUCCUAGUUGAAGAACCACCCAUAGAUCAAGGCAUCUAUCUCAGGCUGAUGAUGCGAGCGGCCAGCAAUGAUGAUGCAUGUUGAUGGCAGGUUGGUUAUAAAUUGCUGACUGGGUACACCUGCUUUGGCCAGCUCCUUGGAUAAAGGAGUGAGGAAACCCCGCAAUGGCUGCUUCUUCCCAUAGCCUUUGUGUGUUGGCAGUAGGCUGCGAUGAGCCAGCGUGUAUUGAUCGGCUUCUGCAUGCUAAAGCUGUAAUCGGGCCCGACAAGGCCUGAGCCCGACAGAAUUUGGCCCGAGCCCGACAAGUACAUUUUGAUUGACAGCUUGAAAAAUGAGCGUUCGACUAGUCAUAACUGGUUUCCAAGAUGGCUCCCGCAAGUAAACAUGAA